Poecilia reticulata (guppy) is the source of this 1930-nucleotide long non-coding RNA. RefSeq lists it as uncharacterized. The record is from RefSeq and is a predicted model, not a curated record. NCBI's taxonomy places the organism in Eukaryota, Metazoa, Chordata, Actinopteri, Cyprinodontiformes, Poeciliidae.
UGAAAGGUUUUAGGUGUGCCUUAUAGUGUGGAAAAUACGGUAAUAUUGAAACUUAAGAAUGAGGAAGAACAGGAUAAAAUCAGCCCCAUUGUGGUGACAAGUGAAAUUAAAAAUAAAAUUGGAGAUGUUGAAAUGGUAAAGAUUUUGAGAGACGGAAACCUAUUGGUAGUAUGUAAAGAUAUAGAACAAAAGAAUAAGGCUUUAAAUGUGGAAAAUAUUUGCAAAAGAACUGUGCUGGAGAAAAAAAUCAUGGGAGAAAAUAAAAAAAUUAGAGGAGUGAUUUAUGGGAUCCCUCUAGAUGAAGAUCUUGAUAAAAUUAAGAGAAGUGUUGUAGGUGCAAAGUGAAUAACUUGAAAAGAUUGUCAAAAACAGUGGAUGGAGAAAGAGUAGGAAGUUUGUCAAUUCUUACUGAGUUUAAAGAAAAAGAGUUACCAAAAAAUAUAAAAAUAGGGUAUCUCAGUUUUCAAGUUAGACCUUAUGUACUGUCGUGAAAACUGGUACAAGAAUGUGAGAUCUGUCCAGGUACACGCAGAAAACGGAAUAAAGGCCUAAGAAAUAACAGCAAAUCUUGUAUAUUGAUUUAAUGAUGAUUAAAAGAAACAAGUAUAAAACAUAAUGCUCAUGUGAAAGUAAGAAUGUCUGUAAUGUAUAAUCAAAAUAUAUGUUCUGUAUUUUUGAUUAGUUGAAUGUCUGUAAUGUAUAAUCAAAAUAUAUGUUCUGUAUUUCUGAUCAGUUGAACAUUAUAAUGUAAUUAUGGAAAUUUAAGUUUGUACCUUUUGAGUUAACAAUAACAGCUUGAUUGUUGUAUAAUGUGAUGAUGAGUGAGGAAGAGACAUACUGAAGUAAUAAGUUGAUAAAGUAACACAGUGAUUAUGCUUUGUGAUGAAUUACAAAGACAAAAUGAAGAAGGAUUUAAGAUUGCGAGAAACAGAAUAAACUGUGUUGUAAGGAGUACACUGAGCAGGGUGGGGGAACAGAUGGCCAGAAACAGAUGGCCAGUGGAAAAAGGGAAGUACCGGAGAAUUGCUGUAAUGAGGCAUAAGUGAGUCAUAAAGGAGGUGAUGGUUGGGGAAGGUUGGGACUUUCCACAGACAGUGGGGCGGUUCUAAAGUCACGUAGCCCUGCCCCGUAAACAGCCCUGGGUUGAGAGGGUAUAAAACCCAGAGGAUAGGGGAGGAAAGAGGUUCUUUGUCCGCGGCGCAGAAGAGGAGCCAACAGAGGACCGCACCCCGGGACCAAGGGAAGCUCAAGACUUCACGCCACCAAGAAGGGACGAGUUCCACCAGCCCCGACCCUGGGUUCCUGAUCCGACCAACUCCUCUGCCUUUUACCCAAUGUUCUCCACUCAACUGCAGCCGACUUGGAGAAGAGACGGAGGUCAUUUAAUGACAAAGACUCUGCACGUUAGAAGGAUAACGGACAGUUCUGCUCUGCUUCUCUUCUGAAAGAGAACUUUACUCCGCCGGGGCAAAGACUUUGGCCAAGGAUAUUUGAAGAUUUCAGCUGCCGAGAUCAAGUGCCAUCGGGACUCCCUCCUUUGAAAGAUGAAGGAGCUGCUGUAAUCCCAACUCCCCCAUAGGGGUUGGCUUAACCGCAGGCACCCCCUGCGACUUUACCACGGUUCGAUCCUAUGUCGCCAGAGCUCAGUGACUCCAGUGAUAAUGCCAGACUCGAGGUUUGGCUGGCUCGCCUACAGUUGGAGGCACAGGAGAGGGAGUUGGUGGUGCCAGAUAAAAACAAGUUUGAUGUUAGCAAGAAUAUUGCUUUGGUGCCUAGCCAGAGGUUGCAGACCCCUGUUGGAUGGGAGCAGCUAAAUUUAGUCUGAUUUUUACACUACAAAUAAAUCUCCAGAUCUGUGGAUUACACAAAACAUGUUUUGGACAAAAUCAUUCUUAGAAAAUAAGAUUUUAAUAUGCUCAGUUUUGCCUAU